This 2685-nucleotide long non-coding RNA is filed under the name Helianthus annuus (common sunflower). Lineage: Eukaryota; Viridiplantae; Streptophyta; Magnoliopsida; Asterales; Asteraceae. The record is from RNAcentral.
AUGCAACAGCCCAAAAGGCGUGAAGGCCCAUGCAACCUGCUGGAUUCUGGGCAAUGCCUGAGCUCCAUGUCGUAUGUUUUCCCAAUUCUUAGGAGAGUAUGGUUAGUGGGUUUCCAUUUGUACCUCUUUAUAAGAUGAGUUAUUUUGUUAUGGAAUAUUAAGCAGGAAAAUUGUCCCAAUCUUUCCUCUCAGAUUCUUCUAAUUCUUUCUUCCUCAAUCUCUAAAUCGCUAACCGAUCGGUCCACACCACUGAGUUUGAAGGUGGUGAAGGGUUUGGGUCUGCCAAUCAGUGACGUAUGAGCAAGGGGGUGUUUGGUCUGCCAAUCGGUGAUGUAUGAGCAAGAUUUCACAAGAUCUAAAGACGGCUUGGUGUGUAGUGUUAAAUCCGACGACUAGGGUUCCGGUGAUAGAAUUCUCAAGCUGAGCGGUGGCAAUAGAGACGAGUUCCCGGUUGUAGAUGGUGGUUGAGGUAGGUUCCGACAAAAUGAGGUUGUUGAAAGCUAUGAGCGAACUUAUAGUAAUAUGGUUCGUGUUCGCCAAUUGUCUGAGUUAGAGGAGGCCCGUUCAUAUUGCCACCAACAAAGUAUGUGCCAGUAAAGUAUGUUGAACAUAUAUACGUUCAGAGGUGAUCUUUUGGACUAUCUCAAUGACUUCGGACUCAGUUUUAUUCUACAGUUAUGCAGAUACAUCGUUCAAGGUUUGAGAGAGUAGGAAGAUGGAGCCGAAUGGGCUUAUGGUUACUCGCCAAGAGUCCAAUCGCUGGUCAAAUCUGUCUUGCAAGGUUUGGGUUUUAUCAGAAACCCUGGAAACAAGGCCACUGCUUCAGUUUCGAAAAGGUUUAAGCUACAGUUCAGAAAUAAGAUUGCCUUGUCGGUCUACACUGGGAGCGUCUUUUAGGCGAGCAUGAAUCGUCCAUUGAAAUACCCUUGGUUGAUGCUCGGAGUGACCAGAUAGUGGAUAUCGGGCCUGAAUCUGUUGCAAAACUGAAAAUACUGGGAUUUUGAGUUGGUGACGGUAACGAUGACGGUAGUUGGGCAUACGAACACUUUCAAGAAACCAUUAUGAGCGAACGAGAAGGGAAACGAAGAAUGCUUCAAGGAAAUACUUGUUUGCAGCUAAACAAAGGCGUUUGUUAUGUUCGUAACAAGAUUUCUUUUACUCAUAGUGCGGAACAUACUAGAAAUAGUCUGUACAGACUGGUGGCAGUAGUUGUGGAUGCUGAUUUGAUGAAUGGAGUGGAAGUAGCAACGACGGAAGCAUUUGUCAUGAAGGACCGGCGUUAUAUCUAUCACAAAAACAUGUGUGCCCCUCUUUAUCAGAUAAGGUGUGCUAUUUAAAGCAGAUCGGCUAUAAGGGUCCUCGCUAUACACGUCUGAAAGACACAAAUGUCUGCACUUUGAAGGAUUUGUUGAGACUACUCUACACGAAUCCAAAACGGCAUGAAGAGAUUCUUGAGCUAAAAGCCUCUUGCAAGUUUUGGGACGAAAUUGUAAAAAGCGCACAAGCAUCAAAUGGAACAUUUUUGUACCUCGAUCCUAGAGACGAACAAAAAACCGGCGUUGUUCUUGAUGUUAAACUGCAAUUGAAGGUGUUGAUAGUAGAACCUCAUCGGUACAUCAGCCAGUGCCACAUCAGCAAUGUUUAUGGGAAUGAUUUCAAUAUUCAUAGGAAUUUCAUUACUGGCACAUGAUGACUCGAAAGCCGUAAACGCGCCGUUAAACGGCUGCAAACGCGGCAGCAAACGGGUGCAAAAACGCAGCUGUUUGCAGCCGUUUAACGACGCGUUUACGGCUGCAAACGCAGCACCAAACGGGUGUAAAAAGCGCAGCCGUUUGCUGCCGUAAACCGCUGCAAACGGGUGCAAAAAUGCAGCCGUUUAACGGCUGCAAACGCAGCACCAAAUGGGUGUAAAAACGCAGCAAGAACGCGAACUAGCUGUCGACAAGACCAAAUUCACUAACGUCUUCGUUAAAAACCUCUCCGAAUCAACAACCGAUGAGGAUUUACAAAAGUCGUUUAGUGAAUAUGGAACGAUCACCAGUGCGGUUGUGAUGAGGGACGCUGACGGUAACUCCAAAUGCUUUGGUUUGUUAACUUUGAGAGUAUCGAAGAUGCUGCUAAAGCUGUAGAAGGCCUUAACGGACAAAAGUUUGAUGAAAAAGAAUGUUUUGUCGGGAAAGCGCAAAAAAAAGAAUGAACGGGAACUGGAGUUGAAACAGAAGUUUGAGCAGAGUAUGAAGGAGGCGGUGGACAAAUCACAGGGGUUAAACUUGUAUGUAAAAAAAUUAGAUGAUACGGUGACCGAUGAAAGUCUCAGGGAGUACUUUGCGCCUUUCGGUACUAUAACUUCCUGCAAGGUCAUGAGAGAUCCUAACGGGACUAGCAAAGCUAAUGUAUAUGUUUCAUAGCUUCCUUCAAUAGAAGUUCAGAAGACUUCAAGGUUCAAAGUGAGAAGUAAGCAAGACAAGAGUAAAGUUUGAAAUGAUGAUGAUAGUGUUAGCUGUUUGCUGCAGUGUCUUGUUCAUGUGAACAAGUUGGAUUGAAAAAGAGACUAUUGUUGUAUUUUGAUGGGAGAAAUGAAUAUGUAAAACUGUUUUUAUAACCGAAUUUCCUUGUGAUGGUAUAGUGUUUACAAAUUGUGGGAAUAUCAAGUUUAGUAUUAUCAAGUAUUAACCCUUCUUUGCU